This 392-nucleotide long non-coding RNA is filed under the name Homo sapiens (human). RNAcentral describes it as "non-protein coding lnc-ZCCHC24-1:1". The record is from RNAcentral. Lineage: Eukaryota; Metazoa; Chordata; Mammalia; Primates; Hominidae.
CACCUCACGUGCACACACAUCUCACACACGCACUCACAUCUCACACCUGCACUCACACAUCUCACACCCACACACAUGUGCACACACAUCUCACACAUGCACUCACACAUCUCACACGUGCACACACAUCUCACACAUGCACUCACAAAUCUCACACACGCACUUACAUCUCACACGUACACACACAUCUCACACACACAUCUCACACAGGCACUCACAUCUCACACGUGCACUCACACAUGCACACACAAUCUCACACCCACACACACAUCUCACACACGCACUCACAUGCAUCUCACACAUGCACUCAUACACAUCUCACACUGUUGACACCCUCACAUACACACCCAUUUGCACACUCAAGCCUGCACAUAUUCAUACAUGCACAGCCC